This is a long non-coding RNA of Zalophus californianus (California sea lion), 1252 nucleotides long. RefSeq lists it as uncharacterized. The transcript is spliced from 6 exons. NCBI's taxonomy places the organism in Eukaryota, Metazoa, Chordata, Mammalia, Carnivora, Otariidae. The record is from RefSeq and is a predicted model, not a curated record.
CAUGGGUGAAGCUUGAAAACAUAAGGAGAGGUUUCCAGCAGAGGGAACAGCAAGUGCCAAGGCCUGGAGGCAUGAGGAGGCAGGCCUGUCCGCGGCAUAGCAGGCGCCCGUGUGACUAAGGUGGCUCCUCCGUUUCUAGAAGCAGCAAUGGUGACGUACUAGACUAGAAGACUGGAGACCAACUCCUAGCUCUAGGGCCGCGGCCCGAACAAAUUCCCGGCAUGAAGUCACUGGGAGCCAGCACAGCUGCUGAAGUACACUUCCACGGGCUGUCGCUGACUGUGUCUAUCCCGCACCAGAAUGCGAGCCCCGUGCGGGAGGGAUUUCCGACAGUUUUACUCACCGAUGGCCCCGGCAUCUCAAACAGUGCCUGGCACCAGCUAAAUGCUGAGAAGUACGUUUGGACAAAUGCAUCCGUAUCGUUUCAUGAAGAGGCAAGUUCGGUUACCAGCAGUUUGGUCUGAGGAUGUUUCCACGACUGUUCUGUGAAACGUGGUCAGAGAUGAGGAGGAUCCACCAGAGCCCACAGUUGGGAAUGGGAUCCAGUUGUUUUACUGACACAAAUAUGCAGAUCUUCCAAAGUGACAAUGAGCUAAUCUGCUAACCUGAAUGGCAAAGAGCUGACAAUGCGCCCCAUGAGGGCUGGCCUGGCCACCUCCCUACCUCCAGCAGAUCCUCCUCCUCCUGCCCUGCAUGGGAAAUCUUUCCAAGCGGCUUUCCUUCCAGACACAAGGUUUCCUUCCUCGAGGGUUCCCGGUCAAGAGAAAAGGCAGUACAACCCUCUGAUGUCGCACCAGCGGGAUCCCACUGGGGCAGGUGACAUGCAGGCCAUUCACAUGCCCCACAAAUCUGACUGUUCUUCUCAGCCAGCUGUUAACCAUUUACCAGCAGCCCACUGGCCCUUAGACCAUGCUGCGAAGGUGCCCCCUACCCUCCUCCCCCAUCCCGGGCUGCAGAGCCAAACUGCAAAGGCCAGGCUUCACAACACAACUUAUGUGCACUGACCAGACGGAACCCUGGACAAACACCUUGCAUGUUUUGAUCAUCGCGGAAUGAGAAAACAAAACUAAGGAUCAUAAAUAACGUUAAGCUCACAUUCACCUUGCACACAUCAUGUCGUGUCUCCUCCACACCCCAUCACCUGUGAGGAAGGGGCGGGGGCUGGUGGGGCUGCACAGAACCGGCCCAGGCAGGCCCGAGGCCAGGCUGCCUGCUCCCACGGUGCUCUUCCCAACAGCGUCUGCUCCUGAAU